Long non-coding RNA from Sapajus apella (tufted capuchin), 855 nucleotides. RefSeq lists it as uncharacterized. Lineage: Eukaryota; Metazoa; Chordata; Mammalia; Primates; Cebidae. The record is from RefSeq and is a predicted model, not a curated record. The transcript has 2 exons.
UUGAGUCAAAGAAAAUAUUUAUACUAUCAGCCCGAGUCAAUUGGAGGGGGAGAGAGGGUGGUACACACAUUGGUAAUUAUUUUGCACCAGCAAUGCUUAUUUCAAUGAGGGUAUUUGGAUGCUUGAAUCCUCUUUUCUAACAGCCAUUUUUGACCCCAAGAGGUGUGUGGGACAUUUUCUUUUGAAAUACCCUCCCUACAUUUCACAUAUACUCAGUUUAGCUCUCAGAGAAUGAGCUAAAUCAUAUAGACAGUGAAGACUCUUAUCUGAAGUAGUUCUUGGAUGUAAAGGGGAAGAGGGUGACUUCAGCAGGCUUUGUACCAAAAUCAAGCUGAAGUCUUGUUAUGGGUCUUUGUUCCUCUUCUGUCUCCCUCUAGCUGCUGCCUGCCUCCUGCCUCUGUCCCUCAGGGCUCACUGACCCUGCACUCUGCCUUAGUUCUGGGCCUUGCUAUGCAGUGGGCUUCUCACUUGUGGCAGUGUCAUAGCAGCAUAUUGUGUUUAUUGGGGUCCCCCCAGGGAACUGAAGAUGACUGUAUUGAUGGAUCUGUUUUUGGGACUCAGGAGAAAAGAUGCACAGCCCCAUCUUUUUGCAGAGCCUCAUCUUCCAGGAGCCAUGACUCAGAGGAAAAAGAACUCUUUCAUCUCUGUGACAACAAGCCCAUUUUAGCUUGCUGGAGGAUACAAUACCAUAAGAAGAAAAGCCUAGGUGCCACACACUUAGUGAGCCAGACAGUUCACUCCCAGAAACAGAGCCACCUAAUUCACCAGCAGCUGAACACUCAUGCCUGACGGAGCCAAGCUGAGCUCAGAAGAACAGCCCUGCUGAGCACAGCCUAAAUUUCUAGCCACCUCAAU